GUAAGCCAAAGACAGCUACUGGUUUUUAACUAAGGAAACUCCAUCCAUCACACAGAAACUAUAGUGUUGAAAGACACAUGCUGAGAAGUAUGACUCUGGAGCAGAAACGACACGUCUUUUAAUGGAUGACCAUGAUACAGUUACGUUGAUUGACAUUAGAAGGAUCGGUGAAACGGCCAAUCUAUAGGAUGCAAGGACAAAGCUGCUUAUGACAUCUGGUGAGGCAAGGUAGUUCGCAAAGAUGAAUGCUGUAAAACAGAAGGUGGGUUACUCUUGGCAAAC
This 282-nucleotide RNase P RNA is filed under the name Methanobrevibacter cuticularis. RNAcentral's name for it is "Archaeal RNase P". It matches the Rfam family "Archaeal RNase P". Rfam says of the family: Ribonuclease P (RNase P) is a ubiquitous endoribonuclease, found in archaea, bacteria and eukarya as well as chloroplasts and mitochondria. Its best characterised activity is the generation of mature 5'-ends of tRNAs by cleaving the 5'-leader elements of precursor-tRNAs. Cellular RNase Ps are ribonucleoproteins. Lineage: Archaea; Methanobacteriati; Methanobacteriota; Methanobacteria; Methanobacteriales; Methanobacteriaceae. The record is from Rfam by way of RNAcentral.